RNAcentral lists this ribosomal RNA (328 nucleotides) under uncultured soil bacterium. Its description in RNAcentral is "bacterial SSU rRNA". It matches the Rfam family "Bacterial small subunit ribosomal RNA", at positions 26 to 351 of the family's 1533-position model. The record is from RNAcentral.
AGAUUGAACGCUGGCGGCAGGCCUAACACAUGCAAGUCGAGCGGCAGCACGGGAAGCUUGCUUCCUGGUGGCGAGCGGCGGACGGGUGAGUAAUGCAUAGGAAUCUGCCCGGUAGUGGGGGAUAACCUGGGGAAACCCAGGCUAAUACCGCAUACGUCCUACGGGAGAAAGCAGGGGACCUUCGGGCCUUGCGCUAUCGGAUGAGCCUAUGUCGGAUUAGCUGGUUGGUGAGGUAACGGCUCACCAAGGCGACGAUCCGUAGCUGGUCUGAGAGGAUGAUCAGCCACACGUGGGACUGAGACACGGCCCAGACUCCGUACGGGAGCAG